UACGGGGGAUGCAAGCGUUAUCCGGAAUCAUUGGGUGUAAAGCGCCUGUAGGUUGUUUGAUAAGUCUGUUGUUAAAGCCUAGGGCUUAACCCUAGAAAAGCGAUGGAAACUACCAGACUAGAGUAUGGAAGGGGUAGAGGGAAUUUCUAGUGUAGCGGUGAAAUGCGUAGAUAUUAGAAAGAACACCAGCGGCGAAAGCGCUCUACUGGACCAUUACUGACACUCAGAGACGAAAGCUAGGGUAGCAAAAGGGAUUAGAUACCCCUGUAGUCCUAGCCGUAAACGAUGGAUACUAGAUGUUGUGUUUAUAUGCAGUAUCGUAGCUAACGCGUUAAGUAUCCCGCCUGGGGAGUACGCUCGCAAGGGUG
RNAcentral lists this ribosomal RNA (368 nucleotides) under uncultured phototrophic eukaryote. RNAcentral describes it as "SSU rRNA". It matches the Rfam family "Bacterial small subunit ribosomal RNA", at positions 524 to 896 of the family's 1533-position model. The record is from RNAcentral.